Molecule: long non-coding RNA, 107 nt
Organism: Sapajus apella (tufted capuchin)
Lineage: Eukaryota; Metazoa; Chordata; Mammalia; Primates; Cebidae
Exons: 3
Source: RefSeq, a predicted model, not a curated record
AUGAUGCUUUUUUCAACCAUUUAGCACACCUUUAGGAUGACCUGAUGUUCCAACAAUUCUUCUAGCUCCUUCUGCUCCUUUAGUAAUUGCUUUUGUUUAGAAACCAA